This 138-nucleotide transfer RNA is filed under the name Microcaldota archaeon. RNAcentral describes it as "tRNA-Asp". Lineage: Archaea; Nanobdellati; Microcaldota. The record is from RNAcentral.
GCCUUGGUAGUGUAGUGGCCUAGCAUUCAAGAUUGUCACUCUUGCGACCCGGGUUCAAAAACAGCCCUUUCUUUUUUAAAAAAGAAAGGUCCGUCACCCCCAAAGAAAAAUUUGGGUUUGAAAAUCCCGGCCAAGGCG